RNAcentral lists this long non-coding RNA (3920 nucleotides) under Marmota monax (woodchuck). The record is from RNAcentral. Lineage: Eukaryota; Metazoa; Chordata; Mammalia; Rodentia; Sciuridae.
AAAUCUCAGCCGUUGUUAAAAGAAGUGUAAAAUUUGUAUCAAUAUUUAAUUCCUACAAUUUGGAAGAGCUCGGAACUGCAAUUGGAUGGCUCCAUCUGCUCCAGGCGCUGGUUCUCGGAGGUCUCCGGGGGUGGGGCUGAUCACCUCUCCUGCUCCUUAACAACUCACACAGUCCCUCAAGGGAGAGCUCCAGAUGGUGAAGGAAGCACUGCAGGCCAUGAUCCUGCCGCUCCAGACAGCCACGGAGGAGGCGGGAGGAGGAGAGGCAGCGGCCUCCUGCCCAGCAGCUGGUGUCCUGGAAGCACAGCCUGAGGGCAGGGGCCGGGAGGAGGUGGGCCACUCUGUCAUCAGGGUGGACUCAGGCUCCUGCUCCCGGGGCCUCACUGAUAUGCCUGGAACAGUCGUGGAGACGCAGAGCCUGGGGGUCUCCCAGCCGGGGGGGUGGUCGUCCAUUCUCAUGAGCUGAAUUGGGGCGUCUGCAAAUUGGAAUACUGGAGUGGGUUGCUGAUUUUCCUUCUGAAUGUCACUUAGAGGUUCACCUCCAUGACAUUUAUGGGUGUGUGCUGCACAGGAUUUGGAAAUGUCUUCAUCUCCACCCCCACUGGACAGGGGUUAGAGGGAAUUCUGGUGGAAGAGUGUCUGUUUCCCAGUUUCAACUUGGACUCUGCUGCAGUUAGAAUAUUUCAUGAUUUAAGAACCUGUGGAAAGGAAACCAGCACAGGCCUCAGGACAUCUGUCGCACUUCCCUCCACCUUAUCCCCGAGAGCCAGUCACCCCAGCCGGGCUUGGCUGGUCCUCCCCUCACUCCCUGGACUCCCCUCUCCCCAGAGAAUUGACCUGAGCUUCCAGGCUGGUGCUCUUCAAGGCACCAGCCUCAGCAACUGCAGCUUUGGGGGUUUUCCUGGCAAUGGGGGCACCUAUGGAGAGGAUGCCAGUCUGGACCUUUUGAAGUUCACCAUGGGGCAGGGACUGGGGCGGGGACGGGAACCAACCAGGAGAUGUGGGCCCUUUUGAGUCUCUCCUAUUUCCUGCCCAAUCUGUUUCCUUCUGUGAUGGGAGAAUCCGGCGUGGAACCCUCUGAGCAGGGCAGACCAGGCGGGAGACCAGUGCUCCACCCUCCACCGCAGGCCCCUGGGACUCCCGGGGCACCUGCAUCGCAUCCCACGUGCACCAAGAAAGGCGCUCCAGAGAAAGGCUCUGAGAACAAAGGUCUGUUUGGUCAAGAUGCCAGGCCUCACCCCUGUGUGGACAGGGCAGCACACCUGACGUGGGCCUGCGAGUGCCAGCAAGGAGCCCCUCAACUGUCUACCCUGAGCCUCCCACACUGAGUGCAUCUGUCCACCCCCCAAUAAACCCAGUUCCUUCCUCAGUCACGGGUGGUGCAGCUACGCUCUCUGGGGCCAUCCUGGUGUGAAUGUAGACUUGGGUCACGUGCACAUUGACUUGUGCAGAGCUCUGAGCCCCGUAGCCACCUGCCACGGACGGCAAGGUCAACCGAGCGACGACUGCUUCUGUGCAUCUCUUUUUUGUGUCGGGGACAGUGACCUUCCCGCCUUCACCAGGACCCAGGGACGCACAGCAAGUUUUGUCAUUUCCUGGCCACGCUGCCAUUUCUGUUUGCUAGCCUUUCCGUGCAUGGGCACCUUGGUCCUCAGGCAAGGAUAAGGCCCUGCUCUCACCAGCGACUAUCCUGGGCCCAGCAGCCAGGCAAAAGCACAGUCUGUGGACAAGCUUAUUGUGUGUCCUGCAGUUUUAUCCUGGGUGUUUUCAAAAGUAUAUUCUGCAUAUUUGAAUAAUAGGUGUAAUUAGUUUGUUCUUGGACUCAAUUUUCAAUAAUGGACCAAAUCCCUGAAUUAUUUAUAAUCGUGUCUCAAAAAGUAUCAUGAGCUAGUCACGUGGCACGGGGAUUCUUGAAUCCUUAACGUAUUCCAGUGAGGCAAAAUUGAAGAGUCAGGACUAGCCGUUUUGCCAGGAACAAAUUCCUACUUUGACAAGUUUUUUAAACAGCCUCCCGGGCUCAAGACACCUAACAGGCCCUGGCCUGGGUGUUUUGUGUCACUGACAGCCUGUGAAAUGCUUCUGUGAGAUUGCGAUGUAUUGGAAGAUUCCAGAAACUAAUAACUUCCUUGAGUGUGUCUCAAAUAAGGGCUCCUUGGUGCCUCGGGGAUGGGGUGUUCCCUCCUGGCUGAGGCUCUGGGCCAAGCCCAGAUGUCUGUGACCACGUACUGUGCCUGCGCUCCAGCUGCUGCUUGGUCCUGCAUUGUCACCCAGGAAAGCUGCUAGGGCCAGGUGCCCCCUCUGGCCAUACUACCUCCUCAUGGCAACCCCUCUCUGUCCAGCCACACCAAUCCCAGAAUACCUAGGACCCUGCAUCCCUAUCCACACUACAGGACGGGUUAUCUGAUUCCUUUUUAUUUUGUACUGGGGAUGGAACCCAGGGGUGCUCGUCCACUGAGCUACGUCACCAACUCUUUUUAUUUUUUAUUUUGAGACAGGGUCUUGCUUAGUGGCUGAGGCUGGCCUUGAGCUUGCCAUCCUGCUGCUUCAGCCUCCAGAGUAGCUGGGAUCACAGGUGUGCACCACUGUGCCCGGCUACAGAACAGGUUUUGACAGAGCAAUGUAAAAAUAGGCAAGGAAGGUUAGAACGUGGACUUAAAAGCAACUUAACAAAAGUGGAGAUAGCCGAGCCCACAGCAAGUGGCCUUCUGAUGGCUUAGAGCCUGAUUACAUUGGGACGUGUCACCAAGACGUAGCAGGAGAGAGGAAGUGACAUAUCUAUCACACUGCCACCUGCCGGCCCACUGCCCUCACAGGGCCUCCAGUUAGAGCACGUUCUCCAUCACAGUCAGGGUUCCUUCCAACAUCCUGGCAUUCCAGGGUUGAGUUGCCCCUUCCCCAGAUCAAGUGGAUGUGUCAUACUGGAAACGUCUUCCUCUAGGGCAAGCUGGGGUCCCCCCAGAAACACGCACGGGCGGCUCCACGCUCAGCCACCCUCAUGGCAGCCUUGGGAGGACAUCUGAGGGUGACAGAGGCCCAGGAAGAUCCCCCCAACCCAAGCUGGAGGAGGAGGAGGGCUGAGAGCGAGGGGCCACCAGAGGCAGGCGCCUGCUCCCAGCUACGCCUUCCUGGUGCCGCACUGUCCCUGGGCACUGUGAGACUGGAACUUGUCUGUUCACCCAGUUAAAAGCACACUUGCACCCUGAGAAUCCUGACCAGAGAGUCAGAAACUGGAGGAGACAAACCAGCCUCGUGGGCCCAGGUGAGCCCCCCCAUGCAGUCAAGGUUUGGACAGGGUCAGCACCCAGAAGCCCAACUGGUCCUGACCCAGAGCACCCACCACCCAGGAACAGCCCCUGGCUGCCCGACACCAGCAGGUGUUCCUGACAACCCUCCCAGGACAGGGGUUCUCCAGAGAGCGUUGUGAGCCAACUGUGAAACCUACUGUGGAGGAAGCAGCCCAUGCCCUAUGGUCAGUGCCUCCCGUCUGCAUCCACCUUGUACAGCUGUCCAUGUCCUUGCCCUGUCUAAUCUGUGAACUUGGUCAUGUAGCUUAUUGCUCCUGUAAUUUUCCCUUUCAUUUCAUAAAAGUAGAACUGAUAUGUAAACCAGGGUGCUGCUCAGGGUUCUCGUCUUCUGCCCAAGGUUUUCAUCUUCUGCUGUGUAGACGACAGGAAAACACCAGGUUUAUUCAGCUCGUCUUUGGGUUACAGGGUGCUUAACUGCACUAUUCUUCUCAUCACACCAACCUUUGUAAUAAAGCCAUGCUUUAAAACUGGGUCCAUGUGCUUUCAAAUUCCAACAGAUCAGAGGACCAUGGACCCUUCUACCCUGGGCCCUCAGAUAGGGAAGGUGGCAUUAGCACUACAAGAUAUGGGUUUAGCCCGCGACCAGCGUAGGCUUCAUGGAUGAAAGUUCCAAAU